Molecule: ribosomal RNA, 484 nt
Filed under: uncultured bacterium
Lineage: Bacteria
Description: partial 16S ribosomal RNA
Rfam family: Bacterial small subunit ribosomal RNA
Source: RNAcentral
AUUGAACGCUGGCGGCAGGCCUAACACAUGCAAGUCGAGCGGAUGAAGGGAGCUUGCUCCUGGAUUCAGCGGCGGACGGGUGAGUAAUGCCUAGGAAUCUGCCUGGUAGUGGGGGAUAACGUCCGGAAACGGGCGCUAAUACCGCAUACGUCCUGAGGGAGAAAGUGGGGGAUCUUCGGACCUCACGCUAUCAGAUGAGCCUAGGUCGGAUUAGCUAGUUGGUGGGGUAAAGGCCUACCGAGGCGACGAUCCGUAACUGGUCUGAGGGGAUGAUCAGUCACACUGGAACUGAGACACGGUCCAGACUCCUACGGGAGGCAGCAGUGGGGAAUAUUGGACAAUGGGCGAAAGCCUGAUCCAGCCAUGCCGCGUGUGUGAAGAAGGUCUUCGGAUUGUAAAGCACUUUAAGUUGGGAGGAAGGGCAGUAAGUUAAUACCUUGCUGUUUUGACGUUACCAACAGAAUAAGCACCGGCUAACUUCGUG